GACGAACGCUGGCGGCGUGCCUAAUACAUGCAAGUAGAACGCUGAAGGAGGAGCUUGCUUCUCUGGCUGAGUUGCGAACGGGUGAGUAACGCGUAGGUAACCUGCCUGGUAGCGGGGGAUAACUAUUGGAAACGAUAGCUAAUACCGCAUAAUAGCAUUUGUUGCAUGAUAACUGUUUGAAAGGUGCAAUUGCACCACUACCAGAUGGACCUGCGUUGUAUUAGCUAGUUGGUGGGGUUACGGCUCACCAAGGCGACGAUACAUAGCCGACCCGAGAGGGUGAUCGGCGAAGCUGGGACGGGGACACGGCCCAGACUCCUACGGGAGGCAGCAGUAGGGAAUCCUCAGCAAGGGACGGAAGUCUGACCGAGCAACGCCGCGUGAGUGACGAAGCUUGUCGGAUCGUGAAGCUCUGUUGUAAGAGAAGAACGAGUGUGAGAGUGGAAAGUGCACACAGUGACGGUAUCGGACCAGAAAGCGACGGCUAACUACGUG
Molecule: ribosomal RNA, 495 nt
Filed under: uncultured bacterium
Lineage: Bacteria
Description: partial 16S ribosomal RNA
Rfam family: Bacterial small subunit ribosomal RNA
Source: RNAcentral